This 465-nucleotide ribosomal RNA is filed under the name uncultured bacterium. RNAcentral's name for it is "partial 16S ribosomal RNA". It matches the Rfam family "Bacterial small subunit ribosomal RNA", at positions 28 to 507 of the family's 1533-position model. The record is from RNAcentral.
GACGAACGCUGGCGGCGUGCUUAACACAUGCAAGUCGAACGGAAAGGCCCGGCUUUUAGGGUUCUCGAGUUGCCAACGGGCGAGUAACACGCGGGUGAUCUGCCCUGCACUUCGGGUUAAGCCUGUGAAACUAGGUCUAAUUCCGGCCAGUAGCCAUAUUGAGCGUGAUGGUUGAAAAGUUUUUUCGGUGUUGGGUGAGCUCGCGGCCUAACAGCUUGUUGGUGUGGUAAUGGGGUACCAAGGCGGCUUCGCGUAGCCGGCCUGUGUGGGUGGCCGGCCACACUGGGACUGAGGGAAGGCACAGGCAGCUAAGGGAGGGCGAAGGGGGGAAUCUUGACGGAUCGGCGCCAGGCUGGUGCUGCGACGCCGCGUGGCGGAUGACUGUCUUAGGGUUGUAAAAUCCUUGCGCUAGGGACGAAGCAUUUUGUGACGGUACCUAGAUAAGAAGCACCGGCUAACUACGUG